UUCAUGUGCAAAAGAGAUCAAUUUCUGUACCCAGUAAGAGAAUGAGAUUGUUGUACCGUAUUAUCAAAACUUUUAAGGCAUUCUUCACGAGCUCUGAUCUCAUGUUGCUUGUCUUUGACCACAUAAAAACUAGUAGAGGAGCAGAGCUGCAUAGGAGUUUUGAUGUUGUGUUUGCUUUAGAGGUAUGUUCUUGCAUGUUCACACAAUUAAUAAAAAAUAAAACAGACCUUCUGGGGAGCAGAUUUGUGUUCAUAUUGUUGGGUUUGAGUUGUUUUUGUGACUGAGAGGGGCAUUAAUCAGAGUAACUGUUGACAAUGUGCAUCUGGUCUGCUAUUAAAGUUGCUACCUUGACUUUGCUUCACCUUAUUUUAUUUUAUUUUUAAAAAGUAAGUUCUGGGUUUUGAUAGAAACGUAGAAAGAGUUGCCCUUUUUGUUUAAUCUUCAUAAGCCAUCUUGUACGAAACUGUUAUAGCUCUUAAAGCAAGUCAGUAUCUUCUUUUUCGUCUAAUGUAUUUGGGCUGAAGCAUUUUCGUUUCACUUUGCAGGCAACAACAACCAAUUAUCAAAAUUUUCUAGCUGUUUAGAGGAUAUAUUUCUAGAUAAUGUUUUUAGCUUUUUUUUCUUUUUUCUUUCCAUAUUGAAAUGGCUCCAAUGGCCUUGAUUUGUUCCAUAUUGAAAAGGCUCCAAUGGCCAUAUUGAGAAGGCUCCAA
Long non-coding RNA from Rosa rugosa (rugosa rose), 710 nucleotides. RefSeq lists it as uncharacterized. The record is from RefSeq and is a predicted model, not a curated record. NCBI's taxonomy places the organism in Eukaryota, Viridiplantae, Streptophyta, Magnoliopsida, Rosales, Rosaceae. The transcript has 2 exons.